GAUGAACGCUGGCGGCGUGCCUAAUACAUGCAAGUCGAGCGAACUGACGAGUAUCUUGCUUUUCUGAUGUUAGCGGCGGACGUGUGAGUAACACGUGUAUAUCCUACCUAUAAGACUUGGAUAACUUCGGGAAACCGCAGCUAAUAUCUUCUAAUAUUUUCAACCACAUGGUUAAUGAGUGAAAGACGGUCUUGCUGUCACUUAUAGAUUGAUCCGCGCUGCAUUAGCUAUUUGGUAAGGUAACGGCUUACCAAGGCAACGAUGCCUAGCCGACCUGAGAGGGAGAACGGGUACACUGGAACUGAGAAACGGUCCAGACACCUACGGGAGGAAGCAGUAGGGAAUCUUACGCAAUGGGGGAAAGCGUGACGGAGCAAAGCCGCGGGAGUGAUGAAGGUCUUCGGAUCGUAAAACUAUGUAAUAAGGGAAGAACAUAUGUGUAAGUAACUGUGAACAUAAUGACGGUACCUAAUCAGAAAGCCACGGCUAACUACGUG
This 497-nucleotide ribosomal RNA is filed under the name uncultured bacterium. Its description in RNAcentral is "partial 16S ribosomal RNA". It matches the Rfam family "Bacterial small subunit ribosomal RNA", at positions 28 to 507 of the family's 1533-position model. The record is from RNAcentral.